GUGCUGCAUGGCUGCGCCUGGGAAUUUCAGGAGUUGCAUUCCGGGGUGUCCUGGGUGUUCCUGGUAAAGGUGUUUUCCUUGGGGUCUUGGCAGGAGUAUGAACUGAAGGCUUUCUUGAAGAUUUUGGGGUGCUGAACAUUCUGCUUGGUUUAGUUUUCUUCUCUGGUGUACAGCUCACAUCACUAUCUUCUUCCUCACUACUUGAGGAGUAAGAGCCAUCUGAGCUAGACAGAAA
Molecule: long non-coding RNA, 235 nt
Filed under: Gallus gallus (chicken)
Lineage: Eukaryota; Metazoa; Chordata; Aves; Galliformes; Phasianidae
Source: RNAcentral